This 125-nucleotide small RNA is filed under the name Marmota monax (woodchuck). The record is from RNAcentral. Lineage: Eukaryota; Metazoa; Chordata; Mammalia; Rodentia; Sciuridae.
GCCAGGCACGGUGGCUCAUGCCUGUAAUCCCAGUGGCUCUGGAGGUUGAGGCAGGAGGAUUGCAGAUUCAAAGCCAACCUCAGCAAAAGUGAGGAGCUAAACAACUCAGUGAGACCCUGUCUCUA